RNAcentral lists this ribosomal RNA (1429 nucleotides) under Bacillus amyloliquefaciens. RNAcentral describes it as "bacterial SSU rRNA". It matches the Rfam family "Bacterial small subunit ribosomal RNA". Lineage: Bacteria; Bacillati; Bacillota; Bacilli; Caryophanales; Bacillaceae. The record is from RNAcentral.
GUACAUGCAGUCGAGCGGACAGAUGGGAGCUUGCUCCCUGAUGUUAGCGGCGGACGGGUGAGUAACACGUGGGUAACCUGCCUGUAAGACUGGGAUAACUCCGGGAAACCGGGGCUAAUACCGGAUGGUUGUUUGAACCGCAUGGUUCAGACAUAAAAGGUGGCUUCGGCUACCACUUACAGAUGGACCCGCGGCGCAUUAGCUAGUUGGUGAGGUAACGGCUCACCAAGGCAACGAUGCGUAGCCGACCUGAGAGGGUGAUCGGCCACACUGGGACUGAGACACGGCCCAGACUCCUACGGGAGGCAGCAGUAGGGAAUCUUCCGCAAUGGACGAAAGUCUGACGGAGCAACGCCGCGUGAGUGAUGAAGGUUUUCGGAUCGUAAAGCUCUGUUGUUAGGGAAGAACAAGUGCCGUUCAAAUAGGGCGGCACCUUGACGGUACCUAACCAGAAAGCCACGGCUAACUACGUGCCAGCAGCCGCGGUAAUACGUAGGUGGCAAGCGUUGUCCGGAAUUAUUGGGCGUAAAGGGCUCGCAGGCGGUUUCUUAAGUCUGAUGUGAAAGCCCCCGGCUCAACCGGGGAGGGUCAUUGGAAACUGGGGAACUUGAGUGCAGAAGAGGAGAGUGGAAUUCCACGUGUAGCGGUGAAAUGCGUAGAGAUGUGGAGGAACACCAGUGGCGAAGGCGACUCUCUGGUCUGUAACUGACGCUGAGGAGCGAAAGCGUGGGGAGCGAACAGGAUUAGAUACCCUGGUAGUCCACGCCGUAAACGAUGAGUGCUAAGUGUUAGGGGGUUUCCGCCCCUUAGUGCUGCAGCUAACGCAUUAAGCACUCCGCCUGGGGAGUACGGUCGCAAGACUGAAACUCAAAGGAAUUGACGGGGGCCCGCACAAGCGGUGGAGCAUGUGGUUUAAUUCGAAGCAACGCGAAGAACCUUACCAGGUCUUGACAUCCUCUGACAAUCCUAGAGAUAGGACGUCCCCUUCGGGGGCAGAGUGACAGGUGGUGCAUGGUUGUCGUCAGCUCGUGUCGUGAGAUGUUGGGUUAAGUCCCGCAACGAGCGCAACCCUUGAUCUUAGUUGCCAGCAUUCAGUUGGGCACUCUAAGGUGACUGCCGGUGACAAACCGGAGGAAGGUGGGGAUGACGUCAAAUCAUCAUGCCCCUUAUGACCUGGGCUACACACGUGCUACAAUGGGCAGAACAAAGGGCAGCGAAACCCGCGAGGUUAAGCCAAUCCCACAAAUCGGUUUCAGUUUGGAAUGCAAUUUGCAACUCGACCGCGUGAAGCUGGAAACCCCUAGAAUCGCGGAACAAGAAGCCCCGGGUAAAAAGUCCCGGGCCUUGUACACACCGCCCGUCACACCACGAGAGUUUGUAACACCCGAAGUCGGUGAGGUAACCUUUAGGAGCCAGCCGCUAGAGAGUG